This 425-nucleotide ribosomal RNA is filed under the name uncultured archaeon. RNAcentral's name for it is "partial 16S ribosomal RNA". It matches the Rfam family "Archaeal small subunit ribosomal RNA", at positions 323 to 746 of the family's 1478-position model. The record is from RNAcentral.
CUACGGGUUGCUGCAGUCGGGAAACUUCUGCAAUGCGCGCAAGCGUGACAGAGCAAGCCAGAGUGCUUUCCUAUAAUUGGAAAGCUUUUAUGCGAUGCAAAAAGUCGCAUGAAUAAGGACUGGGCAAGACUGGUGCCAGCCGCCGCGGUAAUCCCAGCGGUCCAAGUGGCAGCCGCGUUUAUUGGGUCUAAAACAUCCGUAGCUUGCUUGGUAAGUCUCGUGUGAAAUCUGGCAUCUUAAGUGUCAGGCGGGCACGAGAUACUGCCUAGCUAGAGACCGGGAGGCGUAAGGAGUACGCACAGGGUAGCGGUUAAAUGCGUUGAUCCUUUGCGGACUAACGAAUAGCGAAGGCACCUUACGAGAACGGAUCUGACAGUGAGGGAUGAAGGCUAGGGGCGCAAAACGGAUUAGAUACCCUUGUAGUC